CCUACGGGUGGCAGCAGUGAGGAAUAUUGGUCAAUGGGCGCGAGCCUGAACCAGCCAAGUAGCGUGAAGGAUGACGGCCCUACGGGUUGUAAACUUCUUUUAUAAAGGAAUAAAGUGAGGCACGUGUGCCCGUUUGUGUGUACCUUAUGAAUAAGCAUCGGCUAACUCCGUGCCAGCAGCCGCGGUAAUACGGAGGAUCCGAGCGUUAUCCGGAUUUAUUGGGUUUAAAGGGUGCGUAGAUGGGUUGUUAAGUCAGCUGUGAAAGUUUGCGGCUCAACCGUAAAAUGGCAAUUGAUACGGGCAGACUUGAGUACAGUUGAGGUAGGCGGAAGUCGGGGU
RNAcentral lists this ribosomal RNA (339 nucleotides) under uncultured bacterium. RNAcentral's name for it is "partial 16S ribosomal RNA". It matches the Rfam family "Bacterial small subunit ribosomal RNA", at positions 338 to 674 of the family's 1533-position model. The record is from RNAcentral.